Molecule: long non-coding RNA, 341 nt
Organism: Pomacea canaliculata
Lineage: Eukaryota; Metazoa; Mollusca; Gastropoda; Architaenioglossa; Ampullariidae
Exons: 3
Source: RefSeq, a predicted model, not a curated record
CACGGGGAAGGCACAGUGAGUCAGAAAUGCACGCCAGCUGUCCCUGAGUUGAUGUCACCCACCUGCCUCUUACACAUCGGUAGCACAGUCUGGCGCCACCUUCUGGACGUUCACACACAACUGUUGGGAAGGAACAGAACAAUGGAGGUCUUGGCUGCCAAAGUGUUAAAGAGACCAAGAAUGGAAUCAGAAGUUUGAGGAGGCUUUAUGGAGACAAAACGAGGGAUCAGGUACAUCAUGCAAUGAUACUCUCGGAAUGGUUAUCUCAGAAAUAAGUUUUAUGCCACUCAGUGAUAUUUUAAAGGAAGAAACUACACGUGGAGAUAACGCGAAGAAACAGC